RNAcentral lists this long non-coding RNA (5976 nucleotides) under Sus scrofa (pig). RNAcentral's name for it is "lncRNA (ENSSSCG00000062539.1)". Lineage: Eukaryota; Metazoa; Chordata; Mammalia; Artiodactyla; Suidae. The record is from RNAcentral.
AACCCUGCCUGGCCUGAGUGGUGAAAGCUGGAGUUGUGAAAAGACUUAGUUUUGUCAAAUUUACCACCCAAGGCAUAGAGGGAGGGAGGCAAACACUGAAGUUUCUCCCUUGCUCACAUCCUCCAAACUCUCAUCAGAGCCUCUCAUGGCUGGAUCUGCCAAAAGACAACUGAUGCAGGAGGUGAUGAACUUAAGCUCUCAGGACCAGCUUCCACCCUUUACCAGAUACAGAGGAGAAGAACAUAAGGGCAAGGAAUAAAAACUUAAAAAACACAUUUCUGCUUCAUCCUAUGUAGAUAUUAGGAAUGAAGACUGCAUAAAGGAAUAAGUUCUCAAUGGUUGAUUAGCUCAUGAACCCUGGUUGAUACAUACAUCCUAUGUACUCUAAUACUUGCUAUCAUAUGUUCUGUUUUUUUGUUUUGUUUUGUUUUGUCUUUUUUUUUUUGGUUCAACUCCUUUGACUUAUAGGAAAUAUAAUCUAUGUAGGGAAAGUUUUUUUUCCCCACUUCUUUGCAGCAAUUUAUAGGAAAUUUGUAUGGCAUUCACCAUAACUGCCUAUCAAAAGGAUUAUGAGCUGACCUCAGAACAUUUAUUUUUCUUUGGGUGGAAGUUGAUUCCAUAUUCAAAAGAGAAAGAAGGAGGAAAAAGAGAGUAUUAGCUCACAAACUACCAUUUUUAUGAAAUGUUUCUAGACAGAAAAGCAUCACUUAAUCAGGGGCCAUUGUAUCAGACAGGAAACUCCUAAAGAACACAAAGAGAUCCCUGCCCCAGAGAAAUCAGUGAAGGUGAGAAAAUCAGUCCAACACUAUCAGGAAUGGGGUGAUUCAAUGAAGGGAAAAAGCUCUUCCACUUUCAUCUGUGAACACUAUUGUGUGUCAUUUUGCUAAGAUAUCUAAAGGAAACAAUUAAAAAGUCAUUGACAGGUAAACGCAAUAAAGUGGGAUUUCUCCUGAGAACCACCUCAUUGGUUAGAAAUAGAGCAGCUGGAAAGAGCUCUUCCCUCCAGCAACCAUUCCCUGGUUCCCUGUGUGUAACCUCCACCCCCUAUAAAAGGAGCUAAGUCUUUUUCUCCUGAGAUUGUAAGGAGAAAAGUGGCAGUUAUUUAGAAUUUAAGAUAUAUCUUGCAUUACGUCCACCAAUUUAAAGAUUCCACUGGGAAGUCCUACAGAAACACCUCUCAAAGCCCUGCCUGGCUCAGUUCUCACUCACCUUGGUCAGGUAUUGGUCCUGGGAUUGGCAUGUACAGUUGUAUACAAUGUACACUGGUGUACAAGUUCAUUGUAUACAAUACACACACACUAUUUUACACAACUUGUACCGUUGUAUACAGUGGUUCAUUGUAUACAAUAUAUAUAACAUUGUAUACCACUUGUAUCAUUGUAUACAGUAGUUCACAUGUGUUCACAGAUAAAUUUUCCCCUGAAAAAUCCUCAUUAGAUAACACAUUUUCAUUCAAUAUUUAUCACAGUUGUCCCUUGCUAUCCAUGGAGGAUUGGACCAAGAAGCCCCCAAGAAUACCAAAAUCCAGAUGCUCAUGUCCCUUAAGUGUAUAAAAUAACAUAGAACAAUGAUAACAGUUGGCCCUCCUAAUCCAAAGCACAAAGUGACUUCAGAAAUAAAUAAGACAGGGAAAGCAUUAACCAUGAAAUAAAUGUUUGAUAAAUUUUGCCCUGUGAAAUUUAGAACACUGUUCAUCAAAGAUGCAAUGGACACAGUAAGGAAAAUAAACAGACAAGGUAAACAAAGGAAAAAUUAUUUGGAACAUUUAGGCAAUAAAAUAUGUAUAUCUGCCCAUUUCAUAUAAGUUUCCAUAUUAUUAUAAUUCAUUAGUUUGUAUUAUAUUACUACUAACAUGCUUUUAAUUUUUCUGGAUCUGCAUUUAUUUCUCACUUUUCCUUCCUAAUAUUUUUCCUCUAAUUUAUGCAUUAUCUCUUUUUCUUUCUUGAACAAAUUUAUCAGAGAUUUUUCUAUUUCAUCUUCCUUUUCAAAAGAAACAAGUUUGGGUUUGGUACUCUCUUUUGCAUCUUUGUUUUCUGUUUAGUUAAUGAUUGCUCUCAUCUUUAUUAUCUUAACUAAUCUCUUUGCAUUUACUCUAAAAAUUUUUCUAACUUCUUAAAGUAAACCCUGAACUCAUUAAUUUAGAGUUCUUGUGUUCUAAUUUAAGUAUUUAUGUACAGGGCUCUCUAAAUUGUGCCUCUCAGUAUAAUCAUUGCUUCCUUUAGCUCUUUAUAAUUAUAAUUACUUAAAUGUUUUUUUAAACACAUUUUUGAAAUCAUCAAACCUGAAGAAAAACUGCAUCAAUUGUAGUUAUAUUUUACUUCUCAUGUACUCUCUUAGAUCAUCUCUAUUCAGUAAGUUUACAAAUACAAUGUAGAACUAAUUUAAUAGCAUAAUAUAUCAACUAUGAGAUUUGGUAAGCAGUUGCACUGGUAUACUUUGCAUUGCCAAAAAUCAUGUUUUAGUAUUUGGAUCUCUAAUAUUUAUUUGAAACUGGAAAAUUCACAACAGGCUUGUUCAAAGCUGGGCUUACUUAUGAAAUCCAUGUUUCAAGGGAGAGCCACUUGCUAUGGCCAGGCCAUUAAGUGUGAGUUCUUUCAUUUCAAGUGAUAACAUGUUCUUUUUUAAGAAUUACUGCCUGUAGAUCACUCCUUCUUAGCCCACAAAUUUCUUACAGAGACAAAGAAAAUAAAGUAAAAGAAAAGUCAACCUAUAAAUGAUUUUGGUAUUUAAAAAUCUGUUUCUGUUUUUGUAGUAUAUUUCUCCUUAAGGUAUUUUAGUGUUUGGUAUGUUAAAUUCACAGAUAUGUGCUCAGUAAAGAAAAGAUAGUUGCUCAAAGAAAGAAAGUUAUCUUCCUACCAUUGCAAUUACAAUUGGUAAUUGCCAUUUCCAAUUUUUUAGCAUUUAACCAACUCUGUCUAAUUUAUGCUUUUGAUUCACAAAUUAAUAUGGCAGGAGACCUCUUUUCCUUGGAAAUAAAUAUUAAUUUUUAAAAACCGAAAUAACUCAUUGUGGAAAAAGCCCCACUUUGCUUAUUUGUCAGAAUAUUUUACAUAUGCAUAUAACAUGCAUAUGAACAGAGCUUAAAAGAAUUAUGGAAUAAUUAAUAUGAUAAUGUAGUUGAAAUAAUAAAAAUAGCAGGUUUUUUUUUUCCUAUGUUAAUAUAGUUUUGAAAGGCAACCGUGAAAUACAAUUUUCCCUGGAACAAUGGAGGGUUUAGUGGUUCUGACACUUCACAAAGUCAAAAGUCCAUGUAUAACUUUAUGGUUGGCCCUCCACAUGUAUAGAUUCAACCAACUGUGGAUCAUGUCUUAAUUACUGAAGAAAAUCCCUGUAUAAGUGAACUCAUGCAGUUCAAACUCACGUUGUUCAAGGGUCAACUGUACAGUAAAACCAAGCCUCAGUCCUCUUUAUGAAUAUUAAAUUAUUGGGUAAAGAAGCUUUAAGACUCUGGAAAGUUACUAAAUGUCUAUUGAUUUGGGGGGGUCCUGUUCACCUAAAUGAACACAUUAAUCCUAUGAACAUUCACUGAGCUUCACUAUGUCCUGAGUGAUCUGACAAAAGCUGCUCAUAGUCUCCACUUAAUUUAAGAGGUGGUUCCUGCAGCUCCAGAAGCCAUCAUUUAAAGAGGGUGCAGACCUUUGUAAUGACUGAACACCUUUCUCCCCAUCCUAGGGUGGUGCUGGGUGCAGUGGAGGCCAGAGGGAAGGGAACACAGACUGAAGCUUUGAAGCUGUGUUAUUACUCCUGACACCCAAUCCUGCAGGUGGCUAAGAGUGGGCACCUCGUUCUCAGGGUAAUUCUGUGGAAGACCAGCAACCAUAUUCUCUGAGCCAACCAUUAGGGUGCCUGGUCCGAGAACUACAAGUGUUCUCAGGGAGAUCAUGAGAUCUUCUCAUUGACAUAAUGACUGCUCUGGAAAACCCAGGACCCAAGGAUACUGUGUGUAUAAGGGCCUCUAAAUAGGCAGGAUAGGUGCUCCUCUAGUUUCCACGUUAUCCUCCAAGGACUGCCUCUGGUAGGGGGAGAAAAGAGAGGGUUCCCAAUUUCCAGAUAGAAUCUGAAGGUAAAUAUCCAUCAUCUCAUUUUAGGAGAUGGAAAUGGAAAUCUGCAUCUUCCAGGAUUCUCUGGUUUCUGGCUGUGGAAGGAGAGUUUCAACUUUCAUUUAUUGCCAGUGGUUUUAAUAAUCUCAUGUUGUUUAUGGUGAGAACGCACAUAUGUGCACAUGUGCGUAGAUGUAGACACAUACACACAGGGUCUUUAUGGAGCCUUGGAGGUAGGAGUCUCCUUCAUGCCUAGGUUUGGAAGUGGUUAUUUAAAUAGAGAUUUAUUGAAGGUCUGUUUUGUACCAGACUCUGUGUCAGGUACCAGAGUUAUUUGGGACAAAAAGUAAGACUUAAGCCCAACUUUCAGAAAUGUGCUUUUUGGUCUGGUAUGAAAAAAAUAGACAGUAAAUGUACAAGUGUUAUAAAUUAUGAGGAUAUUUUGAUGGAAAAUUCCAUGCGUCUAGAAACUGUAGCAGGAGGAAUUGGUUUAAUUCACAGAAGGUUGGCAAGCAAAGGGCUUUUCAGGGGGAAUGUUUAGAUUGGUCCUGAUGGAAAAGUAGGAGCAGGCUAGAGAAAGUGAAACCUAAAUGGCAGAUAAUAAUGUUCUAGGGAGGCCUGGAGGGGAGAGCAAUCUCAAAGAAGUCAAGGAGAGAUUCUUUUGCACAUGAGAGAGGGCCAGGGAGGGAGCUGGGAUGGCAAGUGACAAGCGGAUGGUAAAGGACUGUAGGAAUAAUAUUAUGGGACUUUGCCUUUAUAUCCGAAGCAAUGGAAGGGGGAGGCUUAAAAGGAUUAGAAAAGUCACUCUGGCUGCUGGCUGGAGAGUGGAAUUGAGGAGAACAAGACCAGAGUUUAGGUACUGGUCAACAGUCGAUUAUGAAUCUUUGGGCUAGAGACGGUGGUGAUUUUGACCAGGAAGUAGAGAAAAGAAAUGUCCAGUUUUGCAAAAUGUUUAGAUUAUAAGAUUAUCAGGACAUGAUUUAGGACCAAUAGUAAUGAGCUAAGGAGAGAGGAGAUUCCAGGAGGGCUCCAAAGGUUUGUGUAAUUAAGCAAAAUUUGAAGCUCAGAGAUUUUCAGGGUGAAUCUCCAGGAUACCUUGAGUUUGUCCUUGAAAUACUGUUUUCAAGGAGAAAGUAAACGUGCUGGUUGUAAUUUUUUCUGCCCCAGCCCAUUUGAUAUCUAACCCAACAGAUCAUUUUGUGUGCCUACUCUAUUGCUGAGGAUUGAGAACAGUUCUAGCAGUAUAGGGAUGAGAAAAAUGGAAUCACUGUGUAUUUCAAACAGGCUGGAAUGAGAGAGGGUAAAGGAGACAGGCAAAGGGGAAUCCAUCUGGAUAGAGAGGACGUGAAGGAGCAUUUUAUGGGGAAGUUAUGGUAAAGGUAUUAAAAACCAGGCAAGGGUUCCUGUCAUGGUGCCACGGAAAAGAAUCUGACUAGGAACCAUGAGGUUGCAGGUUCAAUCCCUGGCCUUGCUCAAUGGGUUAGGGAUCUGGCAUUGUAUGGGCUGUGGUGCAGGUGGAAGAUGCGGCUCAUAUCCCACGUUGCUGUGGCAGUGGUGUAGGCCGGCAGCUGUAGCUCCCAUUCGACCCCUAGCCUGAGAAACUCCAUGUGCCAUGAGUUUGGCCCUAAAAAGGAAAAAAAAAAAAUCAGGCAGGUGGGUAAAAGAGGGAAAAGAAUUUUAAGCAAAGAAAAUGAUCUGUGCAAGAGUUCCCGUUGUGUCUCAGUGGUAACGAACCCGACUAGUAUUCAUGAGGAUGUGGAUUUGAUUCCCGGCUUUGCUCAAUGGGUUAAGGAUCUGUCACUGCUGUGAGCUGUGGUAUAGGUUGCAGAUGUGGCUCUGAUCCCACAUUGCUGUGGCUGUGAUGUAAGCUGGCAACUUGAGCUCUGAUUUGACCCCUAGCCUGGGAACUUUUAUAUGCCAUGGGUGCAGCCCUAAA